RNAcentral lists this ribosomal RNA (1345 nucleotides) under uncultured bacterium. Its description in RNAcentral is "bacterial SSU rRNA". It matches the Rfam family "Bacterial small subunit ribosomal RNA", at positions 28 to 1381 of the family's 1533-position model. The record is from RNAcentral.
GAUGAACGCUAGCGGGAGGCCUAACACAUGCAAGCCGAGCGGUAUUGUUUCUUCGGAAAUGAGAGAGCGGCGUACGGGUGCGGAACACGUGUGCAACCUGCCUUUAUCUGGGGGAUAGCCUUUCGAAAGGAAGAUUAAUACUCCAUAAUAUAUUGAACGGCAUCGUUUAAUAUUGAAAGCUCCGGCGGAUAGAGAUGGGCACGCGCAAGAUUAGCUAGUUGGUGAGGUAACGGCUCACCAAGGCGAUGAUCUUUAGGGGGCCUGAGAGGGUGAUCCCCCACACUGGUACUGAGACACGGACCAGACUCCUACGGGAGGCAGCAGUGAGGAAUAUUGGUCAAUGGGUGCAAGCCUGAACCAGCCAUCCCGCGUGAAGGACGACUGCCCUAUGGGUUGUAAACUUCUUUUGUAUAGGGAUAAACCUACCCUCGUGAGGGUAGCUGAAGGUACUAUACGAAUAAGCACCGGCUAACUCCGUGCCAGCAGCCGCGGUAAUACGGAGGGUGCAAGCGUUAUCCGGAUUUAUUGGGUUUAAAGGGUCCGUAGGCGGACUUAUAAGUCAGUGGUGAAAGCCUGUCGCUUAACGAUAGAACUGCCAUUGAUACUGUAAGUCUUGAGUAUAUUUGAGGUAGCUGGAAUAAGUAGUGUAGCGGUGAAAUGCAUAGAUAUUACUUAGAACACCAAUUGCGAAGGCAGGUUACCAAGAUAUAACUGACGCUGAGGGACGAAAGCGUGGGGAGCGAACAGGAUUAGAUACCCUGGUAGUCCACGCCGUAAACGAUGCUAACUCGUUUUUGGGCUUUAGGGUUCAGAGACCAAGCGAAAGUGAUAAGUUAGCCACCUGGGGAGUACGCUCGCAAGAGUGAAACUCAGAGGAAUUGACGGGGGCCCGCACAAGCGGUGGAUUAUGUGGUUUAAUUCGAUGAUACGCGAGGAACCUUACCAAGACUUAAAUGGGAAUUGACAGCUUUAGAAAUAGAGCUUUCUUCGGACAAUUUUCAAGGUGCUGCAUGGUUGUCGUCAGCUCGUGCCGUGAGGUGUUAGGUUAAGUCCCGCAACGAGCGCAACCCCUGUCACUAGUUGCCAUCAUUCAGUUGGGGACUCUAGUGAGACUGCCUACGCAAGUAGAGAGGAAGGUGGGGAUGACGUCAAAUCAUCACGGCCCUUACGUCUUGGGCCACACACGUAAUACAAUGGCCGGUACAGAGGGCAGCUACACAGCGAUGUGAUGCAAAUCUCGAAAGCCGGUCUCAGUUCGGAUUGGAGUCUGCAACUCGACUCUAUGAAGCUGGAAUCGCUAGUAAUCGCGCAUCAGCCAUGGCGCGGUGAAUACGUUCCCGGGCCU